CCUACGGGAGGCAGCAGUGAGGAAUAUUGGUCAAUGGACGCAAGUCUGAACCAGCCAUGCCGCGUGCAGGAAGACGGCUCUAUGAGUUGUAAACUGCUUUUGUACGAGGGUAAACGCAGAUACGCGUAUCUGUCUGAAAGUAUCGUACGAAUAAGGAUCGGCUAACUCCGUGCCAGCAGCCGCGGUAAUACGGAGGAUUCAAGCGUUAUCCGGAUUUAUUGGGUUUAAAGGGUGCGUAGGCGGUCGGAUAAGUUAGAGGGGAAAUCCCGAGGCUCAACUUCGGAAUUGCCUCUGAUACUGGUCGGCUAGAGAGUAGUUGCGGUAGGCGGAAUGUAUGGUGUAGCGGUGAAAUGCAUAGAUAUCGCGCAGAACUCCGAUUGCGAAGGCAGCGUACCGGCGCCGGACUGACGCUGAGGCACGAAAGCGUGGGUAUCGAACAGGAUUAGAUACCCGAGUAGUC
Molecule: ribosomal RNA, 460 nt
Filed under: uncultured bacterium
Lineage: Bacteria
Description: partial 16S ribosomal RNA
Rfam family: Bacterial small subunit ribosomal RNA
Source: RNAcentral